GACGGAGGAUGCAAGCGUUAUCCGGAAUUAUUGGGCGUAAGGGGUGCGUAGGGGGUCGGACCAGUCCCAUGUAAAAGCAUGGUGCUUAACGCCAUAAAGGCGUGGGAAACUGUCGGACUAGAGUACAGCAGGGGCAGGAGGAAUUCCCGGUGUAGCGGUGAAAUGCGUAGAUAUCGGGAAGAACACCAGUGGCGCAAGCGUUCUGCUGGGCUGUAACUGACACUGAGGCACGAAAGCUAGGGGAGCGAAAGGG
RNAcentral lists this ribosomal RNA (253 nucleotides) under uncultured bacterium. Its description in RNAcentral is "partial 16S ribosomal RNA". It matches the Rfam family "Bacterial small subunit ribosomal RNA", at positions 524 to 776 of the family's 1533-position model. The record is from RNAcentral.